This 317-nucleotide ribosomal RNA is filed under the name uncultured bacterium. Its description in RNAcentral is "bacterial SSU rRNA". It matches the Rfam family "Bacterial small subunit ribosomal RNA", at positions 28 to 334 of the family's 1533-position model. The record is from RNAcentral.
GAUGAACGCUGGCGGCGUGCCUAAUACAUGCAAGUCGAGCGAACAGACGAGGAGCUUGCUCCUUUGACGUUAGCGGCGGACGGGUGAGUAACACGUGGGUAACCUACCUAUAAGACUGGGAUAACUUCGGGAAACCGGAGCUAAUACCGGAUAAUAUUUCGAACCGCAUGGUUCGAUAGUGAAAGAUGGCUCUGCUAUCACUUAUAGAUGGACCUGCGCCGUAUUAGCUAGUUGGUAAGGUAACGGCUUACCAAGGCAACGAUACGUAGCCGACCUGAGAGGGUGAUCGGCCACACUGGAACUGAGACACGGUCCAG